Molecule: ribosomal RNA, 468 nt
Filed under: uncultured bacterium
Lineage: Bacteria
Description: partial 16S ribosomal RNA
Rfam family: Bacterial small subunit ribosomal RNA
Source: RNAcentral
GACGAACGCUGGCGGCGUGCUUAACACAUGCAAGUCGAACGGAAAGGCCCUGCUUUUGUGGGGUGCUCGAGUGGCGAACGGGUGAGUAACACGUGAGUAACCUGCCCUUGACUUUGGGAUAACUUCAGGAAACUGGGGCUAAUACCGGAUAGGAGCUCCUGCUGCAUGGUGGGGGUUGGAAAGUUUCGGCGGUUGGGGAUGGACUCGCGGCUUAUCAGCUUGUUGGUGGGGUAGUGGCUUACCAAGGCUUUGACGGGUAGCCGGCCUGAGAGGGUGACCGGCCUCAGUGGGACUGAGGGACGAGACAGACUCGUACGGGAGGCAGCGGGGGGAAAUCUUGAACAGCGGGAGGAAGACUGAGGCAGCAACGGUGCGGGCGGGAGGACGGCCUGUUGGUAGUAAACCGCAGUCGGCUAUGACGGAGCGGGAGUGACGGUAAUGGGUGAAGAAGCACCGGCUAACUACGUG